AUACCAUGAUGUGGACAUGUAACCAGGAGACCCUUGAAUCUCUCCCAUGUUUCAUGCAGCGUCUCAGUGGGUCUCUGUUUGAAGCUCAAUAUCUCAUCAAUUUGUUG
Non-coding RNA from Nicotiana attenuata, 107 nucleotides. The record is from Rfam. NCBI's taxonomy places the organism in Eukaryota, Viridiplantae, Streptophyta, Magnoliopsida, Solanales, Solanaceae.